GUAAGUUCCGACCUGCACGAAUGGUGUAACGAUCUGGGCACUGUCUCAGCCAUGAGCUCGGUGAAAUUGUAGUAUCGGUGAAGAUGCCGAUUACCCGCAACGGGACGGAAAGACCCCGUGAACCUUUACUAUAGCUUCACAUUGGUAUUGGGUAAUUCAUGUGUAGGAUAGGUGGGAGACUUUGAGGCUGCGUCGCCAGGCGUAGAUUAGUCGUUGUUGAAAUACCACCCUUGAAUUAUCUGAUGCCUAACCCGAUGAGGGGACAUUGUGUGGUGGGUAGUUUGACUGGGGUGGUCGCCUCCAAAAGAGUAACGGAGGCUCCUAAAGGUACCCUCAACACGCUUGGUAACCGUGUGUAGAGUGUAAUGGCAUAAGGGUGCUUGACUGAGAGACCGACAAGUCGACCAGGUAGGAAACUAGAGCAUAGUGAUCCGGUGGUUCCGCAUGGAAGGGCCAUCGCUCAAAGGAUAAAAGGUACUCCGGGGAUAACAGGCUGAUCACUCCCAAGAGCUCACAUCGACGGAGUGGUUUGGCACCUCGAUGUCGGCUCGUCACAUCCUGGGGCUGGGGAAGGGCCCAAGGG
RNAcentral lists this ribosomal RNA (583 nucleotides) under Coscinodiscus wailesii. RNAcentral describes it as "partial Bacterial large subunit ribosomal RNA". It matches the Rfam family "Bacterial large subunit ribosomal RNA", at positions 1976 to 2571 of the family's 2925-position model. The record is from RNAcentral. Lineage: Eukaryota; Bacillariophyta; Coscinodiscophyceae; Coscinodiscales; Coscinodiscaceae.